GGGCCCGCACAAGCAGUGGAGCAUGUGGUUUAAUUCGAUGCAACGCGAAGAACCUUACCAGGCCUUGACAUCCUCGGAACUUUCUAGAGAUAGAUUGGUGCCUUCGGGAACCGAGUGACAGGUGCUGCAUGGCUGUCGUCAGCUCGUGUCGUGAGAUGUUGGGUUAAGUCCCGUAACGAGCGCAACCCUUGUCCUUAGUUGCCAGCACAUUAUGGUGGGAACUCUAAGGAGACUGCCGGUGACAAACCGGAGGAAGGUGGGACGACGUCAAGUCAUCAUGGCCCUUAUGUGUUGGGCUACACACGUGCUACAAUGGUACUUACAAUGGGAAGCAAAGACGCAAGUCCUAGCCAAUCCCUAAAUGUACCUCAGUUCGGAUUGUACUCUGUAACUCGAGUGCAUG
This 403-nucleotide ribosomal RNA is filed under the name uncultured bacterium. Its description in RNAcentral is "bacterial SSU rRNA". It matches the Rfam family "Bacterial small subunit ribosomal RNA", at positions 917 to 1322 of the family's 1533-position model. The record is from RNAcentral.